Molecule: non-coding RNA, 2210 nt
Organism: Nerophis lumbriciformis (worm pipefish)
Lineage: Eukaryota; Metazoa; Chordata; Actinopteri; Syngnathiformes; Syngnathidae
Source: RefSeq, a predicted model, not a curated record
CAUUGCUGGAGAAAUACUAUACAGAAACACGUUUACACACUCCUGGCCAUUGUACAAAACGGGUUAUUUUCUGGCGCAAUUAAAAAUCAAUUAACCCGCAUCAGCAAUUAAAACAUAUCUUAUGUGGUACUGUCAAAAUUAAAAUUGCAAAAAACAUUUUAAACAUGAAAAAAUAAAGAAAUAAAAUAUCUGAACUCACAUUUCAUCGACAGCUGAGCUAGCUUCCGGGGUUGGCACGACAUAAUCUCACAAGAUGUAGUUUCUCAUUAAAUAUCCUUCUUGAAAAUGGCCUUGUAAAUAUAUGUUGUCUUGUCUAACCAUAAAAUAUGCAGACGAGGCGUGCUGGCUGAGUGCUUAAAGUUUACUCUGUAGCGUGCUCAUCAAAAACAUCCCACUGCCGGUGUUGUACCGAAAUCUGUUACCCAUCGGAAUUUGUAACUCCAGGGGGCGAUGUUCCCAUGACGUUUGUUUGAUGGUUAAACGGCAAGCCCAAAGAGGAGGAGAAGAAGAACACUUGCGUAAAUGGCGUAAACUAUCCUUAAUGCUGAAACGUUAGUUGUCAGAAUUUCAGCAUUAAAUUGAUUUCCAGAAUAUGUGUGUUAAGAUUGUAUAUAUCUGCGCUCUUACUCUGUGUAGCUUUGUUGUAGAGGUUGGAUGUUGUAGCGCAUGUUCUCCACUUGGGGCGCUCUGGUGCUGUGUAGUGUUUAACACCGCAGCCAGGCACGUGCACACAUAGGGCCCUAUGGGUGCUUGAGCCCCUGCCCUUUUUUGCCUCGUCUUAAAAAGUGCCCUCUGCCUGUGUGUGUGUGUGUGUGUUUUUUUUCUUUUUCUUCAAACAACAUUAAUAAAUUCCUGUCAGGGAUGUAAAAAAAACCCACAAAAAAACAGCGGUACAAAAACUCCACGUUUUCUUAUAAUACCGGGUUGUUUGAGCCUGCCGCUUCCGCCAGAGAGAGAGAGAGAGGGCGAUUGAGUGAGUAAGUGAGAGGAGAGAGAGUCAGUACUGAGGAGACGUGACAGUGGAGCAACUUGAACCUGUGAGCAGAGCGGCCCAAGGCAUAAGCGUACUAAGCGCUUGCUUAGGGCCCCGCGGCCACCAGGGGGCCCCCAAAAGCAAUUAACAAAAAUUUCUUAUUUUUUAUUUUUUGCAUGUACGAGUCUGACUGAUGAUUUCUAAAUGAUCAAAGAUAUAUUAUUGUACAAAAACACAAUUUUAGGUCAACAGAGUGCUGCUGCUGAUCUAGGCCUAGUGAUUCUUCCUGCCUCUCUUUAAAUGUAAAACUGCCUCUGCUGCACCUGUGACGUUUGCCGCCCGCCGUGCAAUGCCAGUGCGCACUGGGCAUCAAAAGCGCAGAUAGAGGCAAAACAAUGUCACAAAAAAGGACAUAUCCUUCAGGUGCAGAAAAAAGGAAGAAGAAGAAAGUGGAAGAGGAGAAAAAAUGCCAUGAUAAAGGUAUGUUUGCAUGACUUGGUAAUAAAAAGUUUAUCAAAGAGAUUUGUAGCUGUAAUUAGCUUUAGCUAGGUGACGUUAGCUAGCUAGCAAUAUGUUUUUAGCAUCAGGUGCUAGCAAUAUGUUUUUAGCAUCAGGUUACUAGUGAGAUAUGUUGUUUGCACAAAUUGUUUGCAGCAGAGCACGGUAAUUUAUUUGAGUAAAAUAAACAUAAUUUUUUUACAUCAACUCAUAAGUUAUGUGAAACUUCCCCAGGAGCAUUGUUAAAAUACUUUGGAGGCACAGAAUCAGCCAAGAGCCAGUCCACAUCCUCAGGCUCAACUGUGAGUGAUGAAUCAGGUCCAUCUCCAUCCUCUACAGUGCUAUCUCACACACCUCCACCCUCUGUGCCCACUGUCCCCUCCAUGUCUGAAACCACAGCUGAUUUAUCUACAACUUCCACCACAACGUCCCCUUCACACCAUGGACCAUCAUCAGCUCCGCCAGUUGACCCAGCUGAGUGGCCUUCUUUCCUCUCAGAUUCAGACAGGACUGAGCAGCACAAUGCCAAAAAAAAAGAAAGGAUACAGAAAAGGAAGGAGAAGGAGCGCCAGGAAGCAGCUAAGGGUAGCAGACCUCUUAAUGCAUGGCUAAAACCAAGUACUGCACCAGAAUUCAAGAAAGACCACAGACCUCAGAAAGUGUCACACCUGAGAUGUUGCACUGUUCAAUGUUCAAUAUUAAAGUGCUUAUCUUUAACAAUAAAUAGCCUAAUAAUAAA